AUUGAACGCUGGCGGCAUGCUUUACACAUGCAAGUCGAACGGCAGCGCGGGCUUCGGCCUGGCGGCGAGUGGCGAACGGGUGAGUAAUACAUCGGAACGUGCCCAGUAGUGGGGGAUAGCUCGGCGAAAGCCGGAUUAAUACCGCAUACGACCUGAGGGUGAAAGCGGGGGAUCUUCGGACCUCGCGCUGUUGGAGCGGCCGAUGGCAGAUUAGCUAGUUGGUGGGGUAAAGGCCUACCAAGGCGACGAUCUGUAGCUGGUCUGAGAGGACGACCAGCCACACUGGGACUGAGACACGGCCCAGACUCCUACGGGAGGCAGCAGUGGGGAAUUUUGGACAAUGGGCGAAAGCCUGAUCCAGCAAUGCCGCGUGUGUGAUGAAGGCCUUCGGGUUGUAAAGCACUUUUGGCGGGAACGAAAAGGACUGUGCCAAUACCACGGUUCGAUGACGGUACCCGCAGAAUAAGCACCGGCUAACUACGUG
RNAcentral lists this ribosomal RNA (484 nucleotides) under uncultured bacterium. RNAcentral's name for it is "partial 16S ribosomal RNA". It matches the Rfam family "Bacterial small subunit ribosomal RNA", at positions 29 to 507 of the family's 1533-position model. The record is from RNAcentral.